This 162-nucleotide ribosomal RNA is filed under the name Eurotiales sp. Its description in RNAcentral is "partial large subunit ribosomal RNA". It matches the Rfam family "Eukaryotic large subunit ribosomal RNA", at positions 99 to 261 of the family's 3401-position model. Lineage: Eukaryota; Fungi; Ascomycota; Eurotiomycetes; Eurotiales. The record is from RNAcentral.
CGGCAACAGCUCAAAUUUGAAAUCUGGCUCUCGGGCCCGAGUUGUAAUUUGUAGAGGAUGCUUCGGGCGUGGCCCCCAUCUAAGUGCCCUGGAACGGGCCGUCAUAGAGGGUGAGAAUCCCGUCUGGGAUGGGUGGUCCUGCCCGUGUGAAGCUCCUUCGAA